GUGUAGGGGAGGCAUGGGUCCAGUUUCCCACCCCUAACUUAGACCCCAGCAGCUGUGCCUCUUUAAAUGACCCACACUCAGUUUAAUAUUUGUCACUAUGGUGUUCAGUGAGGCGCUUAGGGCUGUAAAGAUAGCUCUGAAAUCUUGUGGAAAGCGACUUUUUUAUCUGCCCUUUUAACCAUUAGCAAUGGUCUCAACUUAAUGACAAGGCAACAAUGAACCCAGUUAGCUGGGUUUUCCCCUGGAUUCUUGGUUUAAAAAAACAACAACCCUGGGGCCAUCUGGGACAUGAGGUGGCCUGGAUUUCAAGGCUCUCAAGCUUUCGUAGAUCUGAAGGUAUGAGACAAAGAUUUGCAGGCAGUGGAGUUGUUCUAUUAGGGCAAACGGGCACUGCCCUACAAACUUCCAUUUGCCCCACCUGCCUGCCUUCUUACUUACAUACAACCACUCCUUUGCCUCUCUCCUUCCUUCUCCUUAGUAUCAGUGUUGCCCUUGUGGAACUCAGCAGAGAAGAGGAGGAUGGGACAAAAUCAACGUUAGUCGGCUCUGCCUGUCAUUUGCUUUGGCGCCACCUACUGUUGGGCUCCUUGCCUUCUGCCCUACCAGUCGCAAUGGGCAUACCAGCCACUAUUAAUCUGUAGCAGCAUUUUGCCCCACGGUUUAGUGCAGGGAUGGGGCAAAACUGUGACCUUCCAGAUGUUGUGCAACUCACGGCCAGCUCUACCAUUGGGUGGAGUGAGGAGCUGAUUUUGGAUGUUAUGGAAGGGCAGCCAAUUGUUAGUAAUUUCAUUUGUUACUGACCUAUGUUUACUGCCAAGAA
Molecule: non-coding RNA, 820 nt
Organism: Podarcis lilfordi (Lilford's wall lizard)
Lineage: Eukaryota; Metazoa; Chordata; Lepidosauria; Squamata; Lacertidae
Source: the annotation of a GenBank genome assembly